Molecule: long non-coding RNA, 1205 nt
Filed under: Felis catus (domestic cat)
Lineage: Eukaryota; Metazoa; Chordata; Mammalia; Carnivora; Felidae
Description: lncRNA (ENSFCAG00000046840.1)
Source: RNAcentral
CUGACUUUGGCUCAGGUUGUGAUCUCAUGGUUUGUGAGUUCCAACCCACACCGGGCUCUCUGCUGUCAGUGCAAAGCCUGCUUCGGAUCCUCUGCCCCCUUUCUCUCUAGCCCUCCCCUGCUCAUGUGCGCUCUCUCAAAAAUAAAUACACAUUAAAAAAAUUAAUGAAGAAAAAAAAAACUAAGAAGAGAGACUGGCACUAAGUCACUUUAGAGUCUUGUCCCUUACCAGGGGUACCACAAAUUGGCCCAGAAGGGUCCAAACAGCUUAAUUGGCCAAACUGCAAUAAAAGAGGACUCCCAGCAUGCAUUCUGGUGGAAUUACCCUGCCGUGGAGCCUAUUAGCUCAUCCCAGUUCACGUUUCCUUUCCACCAACAGGAAGUGACGGGAGGCAGCUGAAGCUGAGCAGCGGCAAGAAAGGAGAUUCCCCCAAACAAAAGUAUCUGCAGCUGUUUGGGACCAUCCUUAAAAUCAAUAACCAUGAGCAGCUGUCUCCCUGACAUCAACAUCACUAACUCAGGAAACCAAUGGUGGGCUCAGGGGUGCUGCUGCGAAUAUCUGCUCUCUGUAACCUGGGAACAGAAAUGAGAAAGAUACUAGCGAUUCCUAGCAAAACCAUCUGAACAUAAGGAAACCACGGCCAUAGCAGGGGCACUGUGCUUUAUUGCUGUUGUUGUUGUUGAAUGAGAGCCAGGGGAGGGAAGAUGGAAGUCAAAACCCUGGGAGUUCCUCUUGGAGAGAGAGCAUUCUGGGUCUCCGUGCGUACGGAGAUAGACCUGGGCCCCUAAGGUUUGGCAUUUGGAUAACAGAGUUGAAAACCUUGGAAUGUAUGUCCAACAGUGAGAUAUCGAUGAUCAAGACAAAAGAAGUGACUGGUGAAUAUAAAUUACUAAACUGUAACAUGGAAGAAAAAAAACAAACAACCAAAGGCUUGCAAAAGACAUCAGUGAAAACAGAAUAAAGGUAAAUCUGAAGAUAAAAGAAAACAUAUGAAAGCUAGCUUUUGGUAUCCGGUUUGCUUUUCUUUAAAAAAAAAAAAAAAUCCAGUUUAGUCUCUUCCUAGUUUUGCAUUUCAAAAAGGUGCACCAAAACACUGAUAUUUUUUUUUCCUAGCUAAAUCUGUAAAACAAGAGAAGUAUAUAAAUCAAAGAACAGAAGGGCUUAAAAAGGGGAGUAUCUGAAUAAAUGUGUGUAUUAAAAUGUGU